This 253-nucleotide ribosomal RNA is filed under the name uncultured bacterium. RNAcentral's name for it is "partial 16S ribosomal RNA". It matches the Rfam family "Bacterial small subunit ribosomal RNA", at positions 524 to 776 of the family's 1533-position model. The record is from RNAcentral.
UACGAAGGGGGCUAGCGUUGUUCGGAAUUACUGGGCGUAAAGUGUGCGCAGGCGGCAGAGCAAGUCGAGUGUGAAAGCCCCGGGCUUAACUUGGGAAUUGCGCUCGAAACUACUUUGCUGGAGUGUGGCAGAGGAAGGUGGAAUUCCACGUGUAGCGGUGAAAUGCGUAGAGAUGUGGAGGAACACCAAUGGCGAAGGUAGCCUUCUGGGCCAACACUGACGCUCGUGCACGAAAGCGUGGGGAGCAAACAGG